This 2775-nucleotide long non-coding RNA is filed under the name Homo sapiens (human). Its description in RNAcentral is "non-protein coding lnc-PLCG2-8:1". The stretch from base 2008 to 2325 matches the Rfam family "7SK RNA". Lineage: Eukaryota; Metazoa; Chordata; Mammalia; Primates; Hominidae. The record is from RNAcentral.
CCUGCAUCCCCUUUCUGCCCAAAUGGGUUUUUUGCUACCAUAUCAAAGAACCUGACAUAUGGCGGCAUAGGAAGCAGAAGCUAAGCCUCUCUCCAGCUGCUGCUGUGUAAAAUCCAUGCGUGGCCAAAGAGAAGUCAGGGGAUUAUGACAUAAAUGGUGCUGGGAAGAACCCUCUGCCUAAAACUGUCUCCUUCUCCUGGUGCUACAACCGGAAUCCACCAUGAGAGAGUACUUUCUUCGGUUCUUUCCUCCUGUCCUUGACAGAGUAACACGUUAAUCUGGUUCUUGGUGGUGUUAGGGACUGAUUCUCUCAGGAAAGGCACACAUGGUAUGAUGGCUCUUCCCAGAGUCUAUGUGAUGCUACAUAACUUCAGUAUCUAGCUGAGACAUGCUUCCUACAUGACUGUUAAAGCACAGCCAAUCCAGGCCAAGAAGACUAGUAACAGGCACAUUCUGAAAGAUGGAAGCAGCACUGAUAGAUCAAAACCACCACUGCAUAUGUAUUACACUGUUUUUGUUCACCAUUUUCCUAAGUGUGUUAUUUAGAAUAUUGGUUAUUACAAGGAAAAAUAAAGUGGGGAGGCUGGUUAGGCCUUGUGAGUUUGGGAAACUUAGGUUAUAAAAACUAAAUAAAGUUUUUCUACUGUGAGACUAGAUGUGCAGGAGUGAAAGGUGUAGAGGGUCUUGUUUUCCAAAUUCGAUCUCAGAAUCUUUUUGCCAGAAGUGUCUCAUGGGACUUAUCUAUAGUGGAACACAUUUGAAGACCUACUGCUCUAUUAAGAAGGCAGCCGGACAACAUGUUCUAAUACUUCGUAUGCUUUGUGACCUAGUUAAAAUCUAAACUUAAGUCGCCAUGGCCAGUGGCCUUUAGAUUAAGCUAGCCUUACCCCUGGGAGUAUACCAGAGCUUUCCAAGGAAUACACAGACUCCAGUACUCUCAGGGGAGCAGUGUUCAGAGCCUCAUCUUCCUGUUAUAUUCUUCUCUAAGAUUCAUCUGCCUGAGAAAAUGCCCUUUUCUCACCUUACAAAAGAAAAUAUGGCUGUCUCCACCUCUAGUCUUACUGUAGAGCAUGUCCCAAGGUGUAAAAAUUCAAAAUGUGGAUAUUUGGAAAGUGAAAGACUUAUCAACAGGGCACAAAUCUUUUUGCAAAUGGAUUUUCCAAGUUUUUCUGGUGGUUCCAAAUUUUUUGCUUUCAACAAAGUGGGAGGAACAGCCUGUAGAUUUCUGAGUCUCUUAGCAUGUAACUACAAAGGGGUUGGAAGAAUUCAGUGAUUCUGCUAUCAUAAAGCUUCCGUUCCCAUUGAUGUAUCUGUGUGAACAAGGAUCAACAUCUCCAUAAAUGAAAUUGAAAACGGAAAAUAGAAUUGAUGAUGAACUUUGGCUCAAUCUUAAGAUGUUAUCAAUCUACAUAGAUGAAAUAAUUGUGGAGAAAAGCCCUCUUUAUCUCAUUAAGUGAUACAUUUCCAAAGAAGUUUUACUAUGUUUAAUAAUUUAGUGAAAUUUGGGCUAUGUGUUUAUUGAUUCAGCUCAAUCCAGAGGAAAAUUUUAAAGGCUUACAGCCUUAGGAUUAUAGGAUACUAUAUAAUACUUUUGGUACAGAGAUAGAAUUAAAUAACAUAAAAAUCAAAAAUUUAUUAGGCUAAAAUUUUGAGGGAGAAGUGGUAUGAAAAUACAAAUUCAAGGAGUAAAAGGAAAAGUGGGGCAUUCCUUGCUACUAAAAAUUGCCUUGUUCCAGGUAAGACUGAUCAUAAAAAAAUGGCCCUGUUCAUAAAAUUUUUAAAAAGAUCAUAGUAUCUAUCAAAUAACUUAUAUUAAGAACCUCCUGGGCUAAAUUUAAAAAGUAAUACAACAGUUUUAUUUAAACAUGUAGUGUCUACGGUAUGCCAGCACUUUGCAGCUAUUUAUAAUGAGAAAUUUUAGAUGUCAAUAUAGCAAUGUGCAAGAAGAUAGAGAUUUUCAAAAUUCACUUAAGAGUAUCUGAGCAUAAAAUGUUAAGAUUGCUGAUCGGAUGUGAGGGCGAUCUGGCUGCGACAUCUGUCACCCCAUUGAUCGCCAGGGUUGAUUCGGCUGAUCUGGCUGGCUAGGUGGGUGUCCCCUUCCUACCUCACCGCUCCAUGUGCGUCCCUCCCGAAGCUGCGCGCUCCGUCGAAGAGGACGACCAACCCCGAUAGAGGAGGACCGGUCUUCGGUCAAGGGUAUACGAGUAGCUGCGCUCCCCUGCUGGAACCUCCAAACAAGCUCUCAAGAUUGCUGAUCUAGGGCCACUAAGUGAUGAAUUGUAUUUGGAAGCAAAAAGGAUGGCUAAAAAGGACCUCAACCCUUUUGACUUUAAAAGGAAAAUAGCUUAACCUUCAACCUGUGUGACAUUUAACUUUUUGAACCCAACCGUAAAAGCUAUCUUCUAACCAACAAAAAGUUAAUAAUUAGAUUUGGAAUUAUACAGAAUUAGAAAAUUGGCAUUUAAAAAUACUCAAUAAUUUGUCCCUGGUUUUUAAUUUUCAAAAUAUUUUCUUUUUGAAGAGCCAGAUUCCAGUGAUCCUGCCUCUCAGAAAUUUCCACAUUUCUUAUUUUUCAUUAGGCCUUAAGAAGCUGCAUUUGUAAACUUGUGUUUCAUUAUUAAAGCUUAAUUUAUUUUUUAUAUAAAUAGUAUGUGCUUUGUGUACAUAGAGAAUUAAGUGAAUGAGUCACACAGAUGUUGGCUGUUGUUAAUGUGAAAAUUAAACAGCUGUAUCACAUUUUGAAAAAUAAAAGUUUCAUCUGAAUGAAUAUAGCAA